GGGGGAUUAGCUCAGUUGGGAGAGCGCCUGCCUUGCACGCAGGAGGUCACCGGUUCGAGUCCGGUAUCCUCCACCA
This 76-nucleotide transfer RNA is filed under the name Thermoleophilia bacterium. RNAcentral describes it as "tRNA-Ala". It matches the Rfam family "tRNA". Rfam says of the family: Transfer RNA (tRNA) molecules are approximately 80 nucleotides in length. Their secondary structure includes four short double-helical elements and three loops (D, anti-codon, and T loops). Further hydrogen bonds mediate the characteristic L-shaped molecular structure. tRNAs have two regions of fundamental functional importance: the anti-codon, which is responsible for specific mRNA codon recognition, and the 3' end, to which the tRNAs corresponding amino acid is attached (by aminoacyl-tRNA synthetases). tRNAs cope with the degeneracy of the genetic code in two manners: having more than one tRNA (with a specific anti-codon) for a particular amino acid; and 'wobble' base-pairing, i.e. permitting non-standard base-pairing at the 3rd anti-codon position. Lineage: Bacteria; Bacillati; Actinomycetota; Thermoleophilia. The record is from RNAcentral. RNAcentral also lists the same sequence under 1 other name.